UGCUCGCAAGAGAACCGGCGCACAGGUGCUGCAUGGCUGUCGUCAGCUCGUGUCGUGAGAUGUUGGGUUAAGUCCCGCAACGAGCGCAACCCUUAUUCUUAGUUGCUACGCAAGGGCACUCUAAGGAGACUGCCGGUGACAAACCGGAGGAAGGUGGGGAUGACGUCAAGUCCUCAUGGCCCUUACGGGUAGGGCUUCACACGUCAUACAAUGGUCUGUACAGAGGGACGCUAACCCGCGAGGGGGCGCAAAUCCUUUAAAACGGAUCGUAGUCCGGAUUGCAGUCUGCAACUCGACUGCAUGAAGCUGGAAUCGCUAGUAAUCGCGGAUCAGCAUGCCGCUGUGAAUACGUUCCCGGGUCUUGUACACACCGCCCGUCACACCAUGGGAGUGGGUUUUACCAGAAGUCGUUAGCUUAACCGCAAGGAGGGCGAUGACGACGGUAGGAUUCAUGACUGGGGUGAAGUCGUAACAAGGUAGCCGUA
Molecule: ribosomal RNA, 485 nt
Filed under: uncultured beta proteobacterium
Lineage: Bacteria; Pseudomonadati; Pseudomonadota; Betaproteobacteria
Description: bacterial SSU rRNA
Rfam family: Bacterial small subunit ribosomal RNA
Source: RNAcentral